This 379-nucleotide ribosomal RNA is filed under the name uncultured organism. RNAcentral describes it as "bacterial SSU rRNA". It matches the Rfam family "Bacterial small subunit ribosomal RNA", at positions 367 to 762 of the family's 1533-position model. The record is from RNAcentral.
CGCAAUGGGCGAAAGCCUGAUGGAGCGACGCCGCGUGAUUGAUGAAGUCCUUAGGGAUGUAAAAAUCUUUUAUGAGCCAGAAAGUUAUUGAUCAGCUCAUGAAUAAGGGGUUGCUAAACUCGUGCCAGCAGCAGCGGUAAUACGAGUGCCCCAAGCGUUAUCCGGAAUUAUUGGGCGUAAAGGGUGUGUAGGCGGUUUUGUUAGUCUAUUGUUAAAGCCCCGGGCUUAACCUGGGAAAUGCAAUGGAAACGGCAAAACUAGAGGAUGCGAGAGGUGAACAGAACUCAUAGUGUAGGGGUGAAAUCCGUUGAUAUUAUGGGGAAUACCAAAUGCGUAGGCAGGGUACUGGGCUAUUGCUGACUCUAAGGCCCGAAAGCGU